AACGCAAAUUGCACUCUCUUCGGAGAGUAUGCCUGUUUGAGGGUCAGUAUUAAUAAAAAUCGGCGUGUUGCUCUUUUGUGACGCUCCGGAGUUUGGGUCAUCUUAUAACGAUACCUUCUGAGGUGUUUUUAAGGGGCUUAAAAUUGACAUCUUUUUUGCGCAUUUUAGACGUACAUAAAUUUUUUUAUUUCGUUUAUUCUAAUGCCAAAAUCUAUUAGAUGCGACCAUAUCGUGUGGUUCCGUGUCUAUAAAUUUUUCAUGAUUUGACCUCAAAUCAGGUAGGAACACCCGCUGAACUUAA
Molecule: unclassified non-coding RNA, 301 nt
Filed under: uncultured Glomeraceae
Lineage: Eukaryota; Fungi; Glomeromycota; Glomeromycetes; Glomerales; Glomeraceae
Description: sequence contains ITS2
Source: RNAcentral